Long non-coding RNA from Pseudophryne corroboree (corroboree frog), 479 nucleotides. RefSeq lists it as uncharacterized. NCBI's taxonomy places the organism in Eukaryota, Metazoa, Chordata, Amphibia, Anura, Myobatrachidae. The transcript has 3 exons. The record is from RefSeq and is a predicted model, not a curated record.
UCAGUUAGCCAAAAGUCCAGAACAACAGUGGUUCGUGUCCCCACUCAGCCUGAAGCUGAGGAUGAUGGCGAAGCUGGUCCAUCCACACACUCCAAGGAAUCGCAAGUCGAAUGUGUCAGGCAGGCCAACACACAUGUCAACAACACAGAAACAGAAGUCGGCUGUCACAAGCAUGCCACAUGGUUCCCCACUGUGACGCCACAGAGGUGUCAUCCAGGCCACCACUACAACUUCUGCGCAGUCCCACGGCAAUUUCACCACACUAACUGCAGCUGCCUGAUUGGUGGUAUAGUCUCAGGAAUCCCACAGCACCCAGCAGUUCACUGCAUCACAGCACUGAAGCAUUUUUGAGAGUGAAUAAUGUUCCUAUUUCCCUUUUAAAGGCAUCAAAAUGCAGGUGUGAUUAAUGGGUAAGUUGACACACAGGUUAAACACGCCAGGCCAAAACAGUUCUAUUUAAAGUUGUAUUUCUUUUUGAA